GAUGAACGCUGGCGGCGUGCCUAAUACAUGCAAGUCGAGCGAACAGACGAGGAGCUUGCUCCUCUGACGUUAGCGGCGGACGGGUGAGUAACACGUGGAUAACCUACCUAUAAGACUGGGAUAACUUCGGGAAACCGGAGCUAAUACCGGAUAAUAUAUUGAACCGCAUGGUUCAAUAGUGAAAGACGGUUUUGCUGUCACUUAUAGAUGGAUCCGCGCCGCAUUAGCUAGUUGGUAAGGUAACGGCUUACCAAGGCAACGAUGCGUAGCCGACCUGAGAGGGUGAUCGGCCACACUGGAACUGAGACACGGUCCAGACUCCUACGGGAGGCAGCAGUAGGGAAUCUUCCGCAAUGGGCGAAAGCCUGACGGAGCAACGCCGCGUGAGUGAUGAAGGUCUUCGGAUCGUAAAACUCUGUUAUUAGUGAAGAACAAAUGUGUAAGUAACUAUGCACGUCGUGACGGUACCUAAUCAGAAAGCCACGGCUAACUACGUG
Molecule: ribosomal RNA, 497 nt
Filed under: uncultured bacterium
Lineage: Bacteria
Description: partial 16S ribosomal RNA
Rfam family: Bacterial small subunit ribosomal RNA
Source: RNAcentral